GGAAGGAUCAUUGAAUUAUCAAUACCACAACGUGAACCUAUUGUCCAUGCCUCUAUACCUGCCUUUCAUUAGGCAGCCAAAGCUUAGGCUUUGGUGGUGUAGACCGGUGUGUCCCCUCCACAACGCUUUAUGCGCAAAACCAAAAUCUGAAGUUAUGAUUGCCAAGACUUUGGCAAUUCCAACCAAGACAACUCUCAACAACGGAUAUCUUGGCUCUCGCAACGAUGAAGAACGCAGCGAAAUGCGAUACGUAGUGUGAAUUGCAGAAUUCCGUGAACCAUCGAAUCUUUGAACGCAUAUUGCGCUCGAGGCUCCGGCCAAGAGCAUGUCUGCCUCAGCGUCGGUUGUGAACAAUCACUCUCUAUCCCGAGGGGUAGCGUGCGGUGGGUCGAGACUCACUGCUAUGAGUGGAUCUGGCUUCCCCAGCUUUGUACUGGGUUGGCUGAAGCGCAGAGGCUAGCACAAGGACCCGUAUGGGUAACAACUGGAUAGGUAGAACCGGCUUUGGCCAACUACUCAAAGUUGUUACUUGUGGACUUUGUUGGCGGCCAUCAGGAUCAUAACCAACUUUCGACCUGAGCUCAGGCAAGAUUACCCGCUGAACUUAAGCAUAUCAAUAAGCGGAGGAAAAGAAACUAACAAGGAUUGCCCUAGUAACGGCGAGCGAAACGGCAACAGCCCAACUUGAAAAUCUCCCUUUGGAGAAUUGUAGUCUAUAGAAGCACCUUCUGCAACAGGCGGAACCCAAGUCUCCUGGAAAGGGGCGUCAGAGAGGGUGAGAACCCCGUCGGUUCCUGCUGCGUUGCCAGAUGAGAUGCUUUCAAAGAGUCGGGUUGCUUGGGAAUGCAGCCCUAAUUUGGUGGUAAAUCCCAUCUAAGGCUAAAUACCGGCGAGAGACCGAUAGCGAACAAGUACCGUGAGGGAAAGAUGAAAAGAACUUUGAAAAGAGAGUUAAAAAGUGCUUGAAAUUGUUGAGGGGGAAGCGUUUGAAUGCUCGGGUGCGCUUAGGCUUAUGUAGUCUUAACGGGCUGCUGUAUGUGCUAAGUGCUGGCCAGCAUGGGUUGGACUGGUAGGAUAAACGCUGGUGUUGUUAACUGGUCUAUACUACCGGUCCGACCAAGGCAUGAAGACUGCCCUUGUCCUUCGGGAACUGCAGUCUCAAGAUGCUGGCGGAAAGCUUUCAACCGACCCGUCUUGAAACACGGACCAAGGAGUCUAACAUGUAUGCGAGCUGGUGGGUGGAAAACCCAUGAAGCGCAAGGAAACUGACUGGUGGGAUGGCCUGUGCCUGCACCAUCGACCGACCAUGAGCUUCUGCGAAAGGUUUGAGUACGAGCAUACCUGUUGGGACCCGAAAGAUGGUGAACUAUGCCUGAGCAGGGCGAAGCCAGAGGAAACUCUGGUGGAGGCUCGUAGAUGUGCUGACGUGCAAAUCGCUUUUCGGACUUGGGUAUAGGGGCGAAAGACUAAUCGAACCAUCUAGUAGCUGGUUUCCUC
This 1497-nucleotide unclassified non-coding RNA is filed under the name uncultured Sphaeropleales. RNAcentral describes it as "sequence contains 18S rRNA gene, ITS1, 5.8S rRNA gene, ITS2, 28S rRNA gene". The stretch from base 572 to 1497 matches the Rfam family "Eukaryotic large subunit ribosomal RNA", at positions 1 to 961 of the family's 3401-position model. The record is from RNAcentral. Lineage: Eukaryota; Viridiplantae; Chlorophyta; Chlorophyceae; Sphaeropleales.